UGCAGGAUAGUAUAUAUAAGCGCGAGGAGCCCGUGUCCUUUCCCUGGUGUGAUUCCGUCCUGCGCGUCUGUUCUCUGGGGCAGUAGCUAUUUGUUUCCGUCCGCGUUCUCAUCCACCUAAGUGCGUGCCACCACUCCAUGGAAGAUUCGAUGGAUAUGGACAUGAGCCCCCUGAGGCCCCAGAACUAUCUUUUCGUUACCUGAAAAUGAUGCUACAGUACAGUAUAACAACUGGAAUAUAGCAGAUUGCAUGGAGUGAACUGACAAGAGAGUUACUAACUGGAGAAGGGAAAGUAGAAGACUGUACAGUAAGCACACAGCAGUACAAAUGACAAUGUCUGGCAGACUGAGCUACUUCCGUGAUGUUCCGUCUCCCAAUGUUCAUAAUGUAAGCUGUGGAGGAAGAUAAAGAAUCAGAUGAGGAAGACUACAUCUGGAAAGCUAUCUGAUCUUGGAGGUGGUAAUAAGUUUCCACAGAAAAAACUAAAAUUAGCUGCUGAUGUAAAUGAUGAUGAUGAUGAUAACAAUGACGAAGAGUAAGCACUAUACUCUAAGGAACUUGACAUGCUUAUAUGCAUGGGACUCUGAGGGACUGAGGAAGAUCCAGAGAGGAGCAACCAGCAGACAGGGACAACAUAAGUGAGCUGAAGCAGCACCUGGAGCCCUUACUGAACUUCAGGCCCCAGCAGCCAUUGUUUUACUUUUAUUUUUCACAUCUCAUGCUGAUAUUUUUCUUGGCCAACCUUAACCUAUGAGGUAAGGAAAGAGAAUUGCAGAUAUUGUUCCCAUUUAGCUUGUCUAGCAAAGUACAAAAUUUAUUUUGUUCAUCCUACUUCUCUCAACCAUAUUUAUAUUAAUCUUCCACAUAAAGGCAACAGCAAAAUUAUCCUUCUAGGUAACAUGUGGAAACUAUCCCUCAUACAAUAAAAGCACACUAAUCUUCUUUCAAAAGAAGGAUACUGAGUUCCAUCUUUUGGGUUACUUUUCACUUUGAUACCCUAUAAAUCUUUCAGUUGUAGUUUCUCCUUAAGUUUUAUAAUGGGACAUGAGAGAACUAAGAUGCAUCCCAAGAAAAUGACUGCCUUCCAGAUAUAUUCCUCCUCAGUCCCAUUGAGCACUAACAACCAAAUUUCUCUUCAAUGGUCAAGAUCAAUCACCCUAGCCAGCGUAAAAAUUCCCAUUGUCCCCAAGGAGUCCACAUUGGCCAGACAACAGUGUCAGUUUCCAGUUAAAUGGAGGCAUCGGUAUGUACCCCUGUGGGAAUGUUGCUUCCCUGGAAGCUAAGUCCUCUAGAUCAGCACAGCCCAAAGUUAAGACAGUAGGAAGCAAAGAAAACGUAUUAGGGAAAGGUAGGAGUGGAAAUGGGAGUGGCUCUUCCCACAAUCACUAUUCCUAUUUUCAUUCCUUGAUUUUUCAUGAAUCCUAUUUAUACAUUGGUAAUCAAUUUGCAGCAUAUGCUGCAUCAUGAAGGGCAUUACCCCAGUCCAGCAUGAUAUUACCAUCUAGCAGGGCAUGUAGCUGACUCUUCACAAGGCCAUUCCACCAUGCAAUGCAUCCAGAUGCUUCAGGGUGAUAGUGAACAUGGAACCGUGGACAUGAACCUAUUGCUGCACUUCAUCUGUUGCAAAGUAGGUUCUUUGGUGAGAAGCAAUGUAUCCCAGAACCCUGUGAUACUGAAAAUGUCCACUAAGUCCCUGGAGGGUGGUUUUGGCAGGAACAUUGUGGGGCAGGGAAGACAAAUCUAUAAACAAAGGAAGUGCCUGUUCCAAUCAAAACAAAAUGUAUCCCUUCCAAUAUGGAAGUGACUCAAUGAAAAAAAUCUAACACUAUAUGACUGGUUGACUCCCCUGAGGAAUGGGGGCACACUGGAAGCUCAUUGUUGAUCUUUGCUGUAGGCAGGUUAGGAUGUGGAAGUCUGCAUUGCUAAGCCCUUGCACAUCUCCCACUUCUGCCACUUUGAUCAUCUUUUCCUAAGAGUUUUUGAGAUAAGGAUGGGGCCACAGGAGAAAGAAGCUGACUGAAUUAGACAGAACAGGUCAUCUUGUCCAUAUGACAAUUAAGAUUUUUCUCUGCUGAGGUUUCUCAUUGCUGAACAGUCACAUGAAAUACCUUCAUACCUGUGCCCGUUCAGAGAUCUGUCCAUAUAGACCUAUUCCUCAGACUUCUUUGGCAGCAAUUUUAUAGUCACACUUCUUCCAAGUUUCUGACUAUUGGCCAGUUACCACCUUCAAAUCACUGUAGAUCUGUUUCCCUAGUUAUCUUCUUCUAGACAGAAUGCAUAACCAUGUAUACUGCUCAUAGUUUUGCCUACUGAGAGGAUGUCCUUUCUCAUUAUCCUUCAGGGCCGUAGAUGGAUUUAUUAUUUAUCUAUAGUUAACUAACCACUCUGAGAUUUAGCAGUUUAAAGUAACAGUACCGAAUUUUAUUCACAAAUAUGACUUUGGGGCAAGGCUCAGCAAGGAUGGCACAUUUUUAUGCCAUGUGGGGUUAGCUGGGAAACUUGACUGGGGUCUAAUCGAGGGACUUUCAAUUUGACUUAUUCAGGUGUCUGCCACAUUAGUGCUGGCAUUUGGCUGAGACUUAUCCAAGACUGUGGACCAGUUUCCUCACCAGGUAGGCCUUGCCACAGGCAGCUUGAGUAUUCUCAUUUCAUCUGGGUGAGGUUCCUAAAGUGAGAACUUUGGAGUCCUAAAGUGACUCCCAAGAACUUUGGGAGUCACACAAUAUCAUUUCUACCCCCAUUUUUUUGGUCAAGGCAUAGAUUCAAGGGUAGAGUAUAUAAACUUCACUUCUGAAUGACAGAGUGUUUAGGUCCCAGAAGAGCACAUGGGACAAGAAAUAUCACCAUUGCUUUUUUUGAAAUAUAAUAUUCCAUAAUGGAGAUUGGGAGAAAGAAACAAUGAAGUAGAAAUAGAGGCCAUAUACAUAUGGGCUCUUGCUCAUGAAAUUUGCUUGUGUCUUCUAGACAUACUGGAUCCUGGUCUCAUAUAUGCCUUUUCCAUCUGAAAAGAAAGUGCUGUCAUGCAUACCUAAAUGUAUGACUGGAUGAGUCAGGCAGCACUCAGUUCGUGGUGGGCAUCUCAGGUUAUAUCCUAAGUCAGUGGCCUACAGUCAAGUGUUCAAUCCCCACUACACUCAGCAGCAAGCCCUAAGGUGUUUCUCAAAAGGAGAAUAGUUAUCAGAAGAGGAUGACAACACUUUUCUCCAAAAUCCCAAAUUUGGGGACAGUGCGUCUCAUGUAAGUUCAGAGUAGGCAUCAUUUAUUUGGUUCAGCUGCUUCACAAUACCAUAAAGAACAAAGCUCUUUUUGUUUUUAGACUCUCAUUUUUAUUUUUAUUUUUAUUUAAAAAAAUUUUUUUUAACAGAACCAGGGAUCAAACUCAGGACCUUGUGCUUGUGAGGCAGGCGCUCCACAACUGAGCUAAAUCCCUAGCCCUACACUUUUAUUUUUAGCAAAUCAAUUUCCAUCUUUAUGUAUUUAUUUCAUAGACCUAGAAUGACUAGUUCAGCUGCAGAAUUUUUUUUUCUGAGCAGGAUAAAAGAGGUACAGCAAAGGGCUUUUUACCUUCUCCUUCCAUCAGACGUAUUUAUUGAUCUUACCCAGAAUGCACUGCACAGUCACCCUAACUAAGAGGUAGGCUGAGAUUUGGAGUAUUUCACUUUCCAGCCUGUAGAGAAAAAAAAUCGAAGUGAGCACUGUGUAUUGAGUGAAUAAACUGAGAGUAUCUGAUAUGGAUGGUUUGAAUAUUUUUGGCAUUCAAAUAAAGAUAUACAGAACAAAUAUACAAAGAAUUAUCUGUAGUACAGUGGCCCAUGAAAAGUGGCUUUUACAAUAAUAAUAAUAUAGUAAGUAGGUGUUUUUGAUCCACCAGGAAAUUUUAGAGAAAACUACAGUGAACAUCUUAUAUUAAAAAGCAACAGGGCUGGGGAUUUAGCUUAGUGGCGUAGUGCCUGCCUGGCAAGCACAAGGUCCUGAGUUCAAUCCCCGUUACCAAAAAGAAAAGCAAUGGUUUUGCCAGGCAUGGUGGCACAUGUCUGUAAUCCCAGUGCUUGGAGGCUGACACAGGAGGAUCACCACAAGUUCAAGGGCACACUGACUACAUAGUGAGACUGUAGACUGGGCUACACAGUGAGUUCAAGGCCAGCCUGGACUACAGAGCAAAACUCUGUCACAAAAAAGCUAAACUAAAGUAGUAAGUAAAUACAAAGCAAUGGUCUUGCUUCACAAAGAAAACUAACCCCUCCUUCAUCAUUUUUGAGAUAUCAUUUUGCUAUACUGCCCAGGCUGGCCUUAAACUCAGGAUCCUCCUGCCUCGGUUUACCAAGUAUUGCUCGGUAUUGUGGUAUGCACUUGCAGUCCCAGCUAUUUGGGAGACUGAGGCAAGAGGAUCCCUUGAAUCCAGUUCAAGGCCAGCCCGGACAACAUAGUGAGACCCUGUAUCAAGGAAAGAAAAAAAAUAGGAAAGAAAAGCAAUGGUCUUGAAUUUCUGUUUUUUUGGUACUGAGGAUCAAACUUGGGUCCUUGUGCUUGUGCAGCAGGUAGUGAAACCUCUGAGCUAAAUCCCUGGCCCUUGAAUUUCUGUUUUUGACAAAGAUAGGUUAACAGGGACUGGAUUUACUUGUGGGUUUUUUUGGGUUUUUUGGUACCAGAGAUCGAACUCAGAAUCUUGCUCUUGUGAGGCAGGUGCAGUGCCACUGAGCUAAA
This is a non-coding RNA of Heterocephalus glaber (naked mole-rat), 4704 nucleotides long. Lineage: Eukaryota; Metazoa; Chordata; Mammalia; Rodentia; Bathyergidae. The record is from RefSeq and is a predicted model, not a curated record.